RNAcentral lists this ribosomal RNA (25 nucleotides) under Ganoderma lucidum. RNAcentral describes it as "partial 28S ribosomal RNA". Lineage: Eukaryota; Fungi; Basidiomycota; Agaricomycetes; Polyporales; Polyporaceae. The record is from RNAcentral.
CCUCUGACCUCAAAUCAGGUAGGAU